UAGAGGAAUCAGUCCACAACCUUAAGUGGAAAGUUCUUUUUUCUGUCCAUUGUCAGUGUUUUGAUGAUGGUGUUCAGCCUGCCAAAUGUCA
RNAcentral lists this small nucleolar RNA (91 nucleotides) under Ictidomys tridecemlineatus (thirteen-lined ground squirrel). RNAcentral's name for it is "Small nucleolar RNA SNORA56 (ENSSTOG00000034509.1)". The record is from RNAcentral. Lineage: Eukaryota; Metazoa; Chordata; Mammalia; Rodentia; Sciuridae.